GAUCGCUCCCCCUUGCAAGGAAAGGCGGCUGAGCACCCAUGCUGAGAGGCAGUCGAACCAGUGCUUCAGCCUCUCGCCUUUGGCGUUAAUUCCUAACACAACUCCACCUUAACAGAAAGGGACACGCGACAGUCAGCUCAGCUGGUGAAGUAAGCCAAGUGGUGCCAGCACAGAGAGGCAGACAAGUCUAACACUGCUGUGCUACCAGCUGCCUCCAGCCAGCGCCAUGCAGCCGGACGCUGCAAACCUGCUCCAGCUACCAGGAUGCAUUUGGAAACAGCCGGCUCGGAGGGGUCAGUGUGAGGGGGGGCUCUGCUGCUCUAUCCCACAUGCAUCAGGGGAGACAAACAGCUCUGCAGGACACCCAGCUCCUAAGGCUGACCUGUGGGCAGCCCAGAGAGGGAGAGCAUGGAGAUGGCUGCUGGCCUAGUCAGGAGCAGUGUCUAGCCUGGACCUUGGCUGCUCUAGGGUAGAAAUUUCUGUGCUGUGCAGGGGGCAGGGGCUCGGCUCCAGAAGGCACCGGAGGGGGCUCCUGGAGCCUGGUGGCUGCAGCACUGUGUGGGGAGGUCGGUGAGAUGCCAGGUCAAAGCCCCUGGGGGUGGGGAGAACCUGCAUCUCCAGCUCCUGAUGCCGAACACACAAGGGCUGCACCCCCGUUCCCCCGCCAGUGACUGGCUCCAUCGUCCAUCCCUCCUGUACUCCUUUUGUUUCCUCUUCUGCACGCUUGCACACUGGAUUUCCUCAGCAGCAUCCAGUGACAGGUGGCUUGUUUGUUCAGCUAGAAACCCUCUUGGUUUUUGCAGGUCCCUUUGGGGGGCGGGGGGAAGGGGAGGAGGCUGAGAAAAGGAAGGUCAGGUACAUCGCAGGGCCAAUUCUACACACUGAGGAGCAGAGGUGGACACAGAGCAGGGCUGGAAACGACCGUCCACCCAGAGGGUGCUGGGAGGUAACAAACUCGCCCUGGCAACAGAUCACUAAGUGCACGAGCAAGAGGACACCAGCUGCAUGGGCCUCAAACCAAAGACAAACCAGACCCCCACUUUCAUGCUCCUCUGGCUUUAAUGAAGGGGUAGAACAGAGAUACAAGUCCCUUUACCUGUGCUCCUGUUUGCUGCACAGCUGGUUUUGAAGCUGAAGGUCGGGUUGAGAUGGAGGAGGAGAGCAACAGAAGGAGAGAAGA
Molecule: long non-coding RNA, 1180 nt
Organism: Gavialis gangeticus (Gharial)
Lineage: Eukaryota; Metazoa; Chordata; Crocodylia; Gavialidae
Exons: 3
Source: RefSeq, a predicted model, not a curated record